CAGUCGAGCGAAUGGAUUAAGAGCUUGCUCUUAUGAAGUUAGCGGCGGACGGGUGAGUAACACGUGGGUAACCUGCCCAUAAGACUGGGAUAACUCCGGGAAACCGGGGCUAAUACCGGAUAACAUUUUGCGCUGCAUGGCGCGAAAUUGAAAGGCGGCUUCGGCUGUCACUUAUGGAUGGACCCGCGUCGCAUUAGCUAGUUGGUGAGGUAACGGCUCACCAAGGCAACGAUGCGUAGCCGACCUGAGAGGGUGAUCGGCCACACUGGGACUGAGACACGGCCCAGACUCCUACGGGAGGCAGCAGUAGGGAAUCUUCCGCAAUGGACGAAAGUCUGACGGAGCAACGCCGCGUGAGUGAUGAAGGCUUUCGGGUCGUAAAACUCUGUUGUUAGGGAAGAACAAGUGCUAGUUGAAUAAGCUGGCACCUUGACGGUACCUAACCAGAAAGCCACGGCUAACUACGUGCCAGCAGCCGCGGUAAUACGUAGGUGGCAAGCGUUAUCCGGAAUUAUUGGGCGUAAAGCGCGCGCAGGUGGUUUCUUAAGUCUGAUGUGAAAGCCCACGGCUCAACCGUGGAGGGUCAUUGGAAACUGGGAGACUUGAGUGCAGAAGAGGAAAGUGGAAUUCCAUGUGUAGCGGUGAAAUGCGUAGAGAUAUGGAGGAACACCAGUGGCGAAGGCGACUUUCUGGUCUGUAACUGACACUGAGG
RNAcentral lists this ribosomal RNA (712 nucleotides) under Bacillus sp. FJAT-4628. RNAcentral describes it as "bacterial SSU rRNA". It matches the Rfam family "Bacterial small subunit ribosomal RNA", at positions 59 to 751 of the family's 1533-position model. The record is from RNAcentral. Lineage: Bacteria; Bacillati; Bacillota; Bacilli; Caryophanales; Bacillaceae.